RNAcentral lists this ribosomal RNA (442 nucleotides) under uncultured bacterium. Its description in RNAcentral is "partial 16S ribosomal RNA". It matches the Rfam family "Bacterial small subunit ribosomal RNA", at positions 338 to 795 of the family's 1533-position model. The record is from RNAcentral.
CCUACGGGAGGCAGCAGUAGGGAAUCUUUCACAAUGGGCGAAAGCCUGAUGGAGUAACGCCGCGUGCCGGAUGAAGGCCUUCGGGUUGUAAACUGCUUUUAUAAGCGAGAAAUAUGAUGGUAACUUAUGAAUAAGGAUCGGCUAACUACGUGCCAGCAGCCGCGGUCAUACGUAGGAUCCGAGCAUUAUCCGGAGUGACUGGGUGUAAAGAGUUUCUUAGGUGGCAUAAUAAGUAGCUAGUGAAAUCUGGUGGCUCAACCAUUCAGACUAUUAGCUAAACUGUUAAGCUCGAGACCGUUAGGGGCAUCUGGAAUUUCUAGUGUAGGAGUGAAAUCCGUAGAUAUUAGAAGGAACACCAAUAGCGUAGGCAGGAUGCUGGGACGGUUCUGACACUAAGGCACGAAAGCGUAGGGAGCAAACGGGAUUAGAUACCCGAGUAGUC